UUAGUUGCUCAAUAGAUGGUGUCAACACCGU
Molecule: non-coding RNA, 31 nt
Filed under: Rattus norvegicus (Norway rat)
Lineage: Eukaryota; Metazoa; Chordata; Mammalia; Rodentia; Muridae
Source: RNAcentral